RNAcentral lists this long non-coding RNA (1853 nucleotides) under Olea europaea subsp. europaea. Lineage: Eukaryota; Viridiplantae; Streptophyta; Magnoliopsida; Lamiales; Oleaceae. The record is from RNAcentral.
GGUGUCAGCAAUGUCUGGGAUGCUUCUGGGGAUGUUGAAGGCGAUAGUUCUAGCAAAGGGCCUUCUGAUCAAGCAUCUAGUUUGGUUCUUGGGGUGUGCUUCAACCAUGUGUGAUCAACAUUAAUUCCUUGGUAGAAUUGGGAACCCUGGGGAUUGGGUUCGGGUGUCAGUUGUGGACGUCGGGUAGAGGACAAGUGUUUUGGUUUAUAUGGAGUGGUUAUUAUGUUGAGGAGAUUCAGCCAGUUAAUUUCGAUGCAGAUGAAUUUGAAAUCUAUGAAUUUCGUUCGUAGCACCGAAAUUUUAGUUAAGGUGGAGAUUGUUAGGAGUAUGACUCAAAUAGGAGUCUUUUGAAGAGGUAUAUUCAACUUGUACUAGGAGAAUAUUAACCUAGGGUUUAAGGAAACUAAAUUGAAUAAGGAAACAAAAUCCUGUUGAAAUUGGGUCUCCUAAUUGUAAUAUAUUUUCUUGCAUUUUAGGACUCGUCUAGGAUUGGCCUAUAAAUACGAGGCUCCUCUGAUCAGUUUGUAGAGAGUAACAUGAAGCAGUAUUGUUAGUCUGUUUUGUAUUCUCCAUACUUUUGAAUUAAUAAACAUCGUUCCUCUGUGUUUAUUCUUUUUGUUCUUUCUUUACAAAUUCAAUCUUGUGUUUUUCGUUGUGUGAUCUACUAUACUUCAAUAUUGUCAUUAAAUCUCGUUCUUCAUAAUUCGGUUUGAAAUCAACGUGUGCUAUUGGAGCUCCCGUGCCCCAACAUAAUGCUCUAACCUUUUGAACUACCAGAUUUAUGUUGAGACCAAUAUAUUUGUAAAUUUUAGUUCUUUAUGUAAGAGCAUCCUCUCCUUUGUCUCGAUUGGAGCUCCUAAACUUGAUUGUUUGUGGAACCAUAUGGUCCAUAUUAGUUAUUUAUUCUUCUCCUUUUGCUUUUGCUGAAUAUGGCAAAUUUGAGCCUCUCUUGUUGUUCAAGUCCCUUAACCAAAUUUAAUUCCUUUUUUAUUUUGAUUAUCUUGCAGAAUUACUCUCCAAUCAUUACUGUGCAUCCCAUGAUAAUUGAUGGGCUACUAGGAGCGCUGGUUAUCGAGUCAUUUGUGGUGGAUGUGCCACCAAAAAAAUUGAUGACCUCCACCACCACCACAGAAAGCCACCGUCGAGGUGAUGAUUUUUAACAAUGUGUUGGAGCAGAAGUAGUGGCUUCCUAUGCUGCUAAUAAUCCUUAUGAAGCAAGCAAAGAUCCCUCAGUAGCAACCUAUACCGACUUCCUUGCCUCUGUAAAUAAGCCUUACGAGCCAAACAAAGAACCCCUUAUAGCAAAACUUGUAACCCCUCUUUUGUAAUCAGAUCAAUUUCUUCCCUCUAAAACACGAAUCCUGCUAACGGGAACAGAAUCUGAAGAGCAUAAAUCAAUUGUUCGUUUGCCAAAAAAAAAAAAAAAAAACUCCUCUCGAUACUGCAAGAAUUUGAUUUGAAACAUGGGAUUCCUUGAUUUCUUGGGGUUUAUCGUGGAUGAAGUGAAAAAAUCAAUUAAGAAAAAAAAAACAGUUUAUGAGAAUACACCACAAGACCUUUUUUUAUUACUAUUAUUAUUGGAUUAGGAUAAAUCAAUUGUUCGUUUGCCAAAAAAAAAAAAACUCCUCUCGAUACUGCAAGAAUUUGAUUUGAAACAUGAGAUUCCUUGAUUUCUUGGGGUUUAUCGUGGAUGAAGUGAAAAAAUCAACUAAGAAAAAAAAAUAGUUUAUGAGAAUACACCACAAGACCUUUUUUUAUUACUAUUAUUAUUGGAUUAGGAGUAUAUUUGUAAAUUUUUUGUUGGGAUAUUUAUCAAAAAUAUAUUUUAAUUAUGGUGUGAUUAUAAUGUGGUG